CUCAGAUUAAACGCUGGCGGCAGGCCUAACACAUGCAAGUCGAGCGGUAGCACAAGAGAGCUUGCUCUCUGGGUGACGAGCGGCGGACGGGUGAGUAAUGUUUGGGAAACUGCCUGAUGGUGGGGGAUAACUAGUGGAAACGGUAGCUAAUACCGCAUAAUGUCGCAAGACCAAAGUGGGGGACCUUCGGGCCUCACGCCAUCAGAUGUGCCCAGAUGGGAUUAGCUGUUAGGUGGGGUAAUGGCUCACCUAGGCGACGAUCCCUAGCUGGUCUGAGAGGAUGACCAGCCACACUGGAACUGAGACACGGUCCAGACUCCUACGGGAGGCAGCAGUGGGGAAUAUUGCACAAUGGGCGCAAGCCUGAUGCAGCCAUGCCGCGUGUGUGAAGAAGGCCUUCGGGUUGUAAAGCACUUUCACGAGGAGGAAGGGUAAUGUG
RNAcentral lists this ribosomal RNA (439 nucleotides) under Serratia symbiotica. Its description in RNAcentral is "bacterial SSU rRNA". It matches the Rfam family "Bacterial small subunit ribosomal RNA", at positions 23 to 459 of the family's 1533-position model. Lineage: Bacteria; Pseudomonadati; Pseudomonadota; Gammaproteobacteria; Enterobacterales; Yersiniaceae. The record is from RNAcentral.